Vespa crabro (European hornet) is the source of this 1055-nucleotide RNA transcript. It is a transcript of the gene named multiple RNA-binding domain-containing protein 1-like, with no coding region annotated. The record is from RefSeq and is a predicted model, not a curated record. NCBI's taxonomy places the organism in Eukaryota, Metazoa, Arthropoda, Insecta, Hymenoptera, Vespidae. The transcript is spliced from 4 exons.
CUAACUUUUCUUUCUACUUUUGCUUCAUUAAACUGUUAUGAUGUGACUUCAUGUAGUCCGAUAUUACAGUAAAGUAGUAAAAAUAAUAAUAUAUUUUCAUAGUGAUUUUCGAAGAAUAUAUAACGGAACGUUAGAGAAGAAUAAUAAAUAUAAAUUUGAUUGAUAGUAUUUGCUUAGUUAUUGAAUUGCGUCAUAUAUUAAAACUAUACAAUAUUUGUUGAAUGCUAUUACACAACGAUAUUUAACUACUAUAUCAACUAUAUAUUUUAACUAUACAAUAAAGUUUUUAUAUCUUAUAUAGUUUUUAAUUAAGAAGUUUAAGAAAAUGAUAAAUGAUAAUUAAACUGAAUUCUAAUGAUCUAAUGGGAGAUAUAAGAAUUUGUUAUAAAUAAAUGUACGAUCAGCGAAUUUUUAAUAAUCAUUUUUUUUAUCGUUAAUCAGCACUUGUAAAAAUGGAUAAAACCAAACAACAGUUAUAAUAAAAAUGGAUUAUCUUGGAUUUAUAGAAAGAAAGCAAAAUUACGAAGGGCUAAGAAUAUAACACAAAAUGAAGAUGCUGAUACAGAAUUAAAUAAUUCUGCGACAAGAAUUUUUGUUCGUAAUCUUCCAUGUAGGGUAAAAGAAGAGGACAUUAAACGGUUGUAUGAAAAAUAUGGAGAAAUACAAGAAAUAAUUCUUCCUUGCCAAUCAAAUUCAUCACUUAUUGGAUACGCGUUCAUAAAAUUUAAACGAAUGCAAGAUGCAUCCAAAGCUAUAUUUAAUACAAAUAAAAAAGAAUUUUUUGGUAGAAUAAUUACUAGUGGAUGGGUCGUUGCAAAUUCUAAACUUCAUAAAAAGAUGAAAAAUAUCUCUGAGAUUAAUAAUAAAAAUAAAUUCUCUUUUCCUUCUUCCAAAAGACAAAAUACAGAUAUAAAAAAAGGACAUAAAUCUUUGACCUUACGAGAAACUGAUAUUUCAAAACAUAAAAAAGGAAACAUUAAUUGCCACAUAUGAAUUGAUACUAUAUAUAUAUAUUAUUAUUAUUAUGUUUUUUAAAUAAAAUGUAGUUACUAUUU